RNAcentral lists this transfer RNA (75 nucleotides) under Rhodospirillaceae bacterium. RNAcentral describes it as "tRNA-Gln". It matches the Rfam family "tRNA". Rfam says of the family: Transfer RNA (tRNA) molecules are approximately 80 nucleotides in length. Their secondary structure includes four short double-helical elements and three loops (D, anti-codon, and T loops). RNAcentral also lists the same sequence under 1 other name. Lineage: Bacteria; Pseudomonadati; Pseudomonadota; Alphaproteobacteria; Rhodospirillales; Rhodospirillaceae. The record is from RNAcentral.
UGGGGCGUGGCCAAGUGGUUAAGGCAGUGGGUUUUGAUCCCGCGACCGCAGGUUCGACUCCUGCCGCCCCAGCCA